Molecule: long non-coding RNA, 3308 nt
Organism: Tribolium castaneum (red flour beetle)
Lineage: Eukaryota; Metazoa; Arthropoda; Insecta; Coleoptera; Tenebrionidae
Exons: 5
Source: RefSeq, a predicted model, not a curated record
UCCAUAUUUAGGUUAACACGUGUAGUUUCUUACUUACGGAUGACAAUACCGAUAAAUAAGCCCUUGUGGAUACCUUCUCCUGUAUGUUACGACGCAAGAACCAAAUUUCACUCAUUCACAGGAACUUUGACGAAUAUUAACAAAACACUUGAAAAUAUUUUGAAUGGACCAAUCAGAGAAGGGGUACCUAAGGGUUAAACUCGCGUACCAUUUCUCACUUCCUUGCACAUGUUGGCUUCACAACAAAUCUCAGCUUGCCCAGUCUAUCCGAUAUAUAGUCGAAGGCUGCAUCAACUGUCACCAACCCAAAAAAAAAAUUAAAUUAAUUAUCACCAGGAGGAUACCAUUGAUGGAAAUUCUGCCAGAUUAAUUCGUAUUUUCACCAAACUUGAUUUAAGUUGUUCCAAUAGUGUACAAGGUUUAUGUUUUAUUAAUAAAUUGGGGGUCAUAGGGUAAGAGUUAGGAAAAAUGUAAUAACUAACGGGUAUCAGGUGUUAUUUGUCGUUAUGUUGGCUGUGAAUUUGAAAUUUUCUAUUACUGCCAAUUUUGACUAUUUAGUUAAACAAAUAUGCACUAAACACGUUGUACUAAACACGUUGUUUGAGUUCUAAUUUUGUUAUGAUUUUAUAAAAAUCUUCCUUAAGCCAGGCAACCAACAAUACGCUUAGAAUUUAUUCAGUGCCGUCGAAGGUGCCGUCCUUUUUUCUGUUGGUCACACUGAUAACUAGCUUGUUAUUGGUUGCCGGUCACGUGGUUACUGGUUAAUAUGUUUAUUUGUUGAACUUGUAACUAAGUUUUGUUUAUCGUUGUUCUGAGCUGGAAAUCUCGGUAAAAAAGUGUUGAUGUAAUUUAUGCCUUUUUGUUUGAACAUUUCGGUGCAAAUACAAUCCCAAAAUGUGAUAGUGUUGGUUCAGUGCUUGCCGGACCGAUUUUUGGUUAUGAUUUGGAUGCUUGGAAGUAACGUUUGCCGGUUGAUUGGUGUUUGGGUUGGUUGCAGGUCGCUGUUAAUCCGAAUUUGCUGAUUUCUUUAUGGCAAGAUUACAAAGUCUUCCGAACUUGGCUGGAGUUGUUUCAUAAGGUUCGUCUUUAAAGAAUAAGGUCUUAUUGGUACUUAAGGGUAGCAUUAGAAUUGAUCAAAAAUGGAGGAAUGUGGAGGUGAGGAUGGUAUUUUGUAAUGCAUAACAAUAUGCGAAACCAAUAAUUGUUUUAGUUGGUUUUUCAAAAUACUUUUGUACAACUGAAUUUCCUUUCCUCCCUUAUGUAAGUAAAUCAAGUGCUAUUUUUAUUCAACAGUUGCAGCUGGAAGAAUUUUGCUAAAAUAUUUAUUUGGAAAUCAUUUUAUACGUUUUAAACACGAACUUGUCGUACAUUUUUUUAAAAACGGUAAUGGUACACUCUUGGUGUUUUCUGAUUAAUAAUAAUAAUAAUAUAGUUAAUUUAUGCUAACAAUACAAAGUAUUUUGCAUAGGUCAAGAAAAGUGUAGGUACAUCGUAGGUCAUAAAAACAUAAAAACUCUUCAAUCGUCUAAAAGGGCUUGGUUAUUAAAUAAGUUUCAAUUUUUUUGAGAAAAACAUUGGAAGGUGUGCUUUUAACUCUCGCUGGUAAGGCGUUGUAAAAUUUGAUACCAUAGUAAUUUACACCAUGCCUAGAUCUGAGUAAUCGCAAUUUAUCCAGAAAGAUGCUAUCAUUUUUGGUGUUAUAACUGUGUUUCGAAUUGGUAAAUUUAUAAGAUGAAAAAUGUGUAAAAAUGUAUUCUAGGCAUUUAUAUAUGUAGAGGCCUGAAGUGUAAGGAUAUUUAGGGAUUGAAAAUGAUAUCUACAGGAAUCGCGGAAUCCAAUACCAACAACUACUCUGAUUGCUCUGCGUUGCAAACGAAAUAGUCUAUUAGUUGAAGCACAGUGCUCAAUACUCAAGGUGAGAAUGAACUAGUCCGAAGUAAGUGGUUCUUAUCAUUUCAGGUGCUAUGUGGUUUGAUAGAUUACGGAAGAGAUAGAUAUUUUUACAUAACUUAUUUGCUAGACUAUCAAUGUGCUUGUGCCAUCUUAAAGGAAAAACAAUAUAUUGUGAUGACUCGAUUUUUCAAACUUUCAAUUUCAAAUCUCGCGGGAAAUGUCAACACGAAUGUGAAGUGAGUGUAAGUGGAAUGUGCGCAGAAGAAUCGCAAACUCCAAUUAGGCGCGCGCACGUGACGUCACUAACCAAGCUUGGAGGAAAAACAUUGGAACACGUGUUAACUAUGCUACUGUGUUGUACGGAGUUAUACGCUGUGGUUAUACGUGUUUUGUUCUAAAGUUUGAAGUAUUAUGGAGUUAUCUGAAUACGCACAAGGGUAGAUCCAUAUUUAAUUCAUCCCCAAACUUGUUCUCAAGAUGUGGAGAAUUUUCCCAAAAUAGAAUUCCCUGACAUCGUUAUGUACUUAGUGGAUACAAAAAGUGCUUAUACUAUGCAACAAUUAAAAGGAUACAAGGGAUUGGAUGCAUAUAAAUAUGCUACUUGUGGCUGGGUUAAACAGGUGGCUGUGAAGGUCUUUGGGUCUUAUGUCGUAGUCUUGGGAAAGAUAAAUCUGAUCAUUAUUGUAUAUCGGUUAUUUAAGCAUUAUUUGAAUCUAGGUACUUCAUUCCUAACGAUUAAAUGAACCUAUGUUGCAACCAUGUAUUAUUGCUGAAAAAGAGGGCAAUAUAUGCUCUGCCCAUUACACGUGCAUCGCAGGUUUGGGGGAGGUAUGUACUCACGUUGGGGCCCUUCUUUUUACUGUGGAAUUAAACGUCCGGGAUUUGGAAGAGACUACAGUAACAGGAAAGAAGGCCUAUUGGAUGCCUCCUUCAGGAAAACCUGCUCAACCACAGAGUCUCAAAUAUAGAUUUUUCGGUACCAAAAAAAAGAUUGCCCCGGGACGAACCACUCACUGUUCGUGAUAAAGGUCAAGAAAACAUUCCAUCAUUAUCCCGAACAGAGAGACAAGAUCUUUUAAAUUUAUUUGCGUCCACUUCGCAAGGAUCCGCAGCGCAUUUAAUUACUAAUCCCAAAGUAAAAAAGAAGAGAGGGACCAAAAAAAGAAUCAUUGGAUUACAACUUUAUUCAGUGAAGAUCACAUUCAUAAAAGCUUAAGUGAGCUGCAGGAAUUAGGUGCCUCUUUGGAUUUUUCUAUACCAGUUGCUGAUUGUAAGGAGAUUCACAAUACGACUAAAGAACAAGCGAAGUGUAAAGAUUGGUUUUACUAUAGAGCUGGAAGGAUUACAGCGUCCAAAUUCAAAAGUUGUUGCCGAACAAAUAUCGCGAAUCCCUCUUUAUCUUUACUCAAGUCUGU